CUGAGGGGCAGGAGGUGGAGUGUCAUGGAAGGGUCUUUACUUCAGGGACCUGGGGGGUCCUAAGGUCUAUGGCCCCCACAGUGGCCUGGGAGCAGGCUAUGAUGGGGGCGUGAAGCCACAGAAGCCAGGUGAGCCCUGCCCCGGCCCCAGCUCUUUGUCUCCCCCUCUUUCUCUCACUCCUCACCUCACCUCAUCUGUCUCUCCAGGAUUCGUGGUCAGGCAUGGGCUGGGAACCCAGCCAGGGUUCAGGACCUUCGCAGGUGCUGCAGCCCAGCCAGGAUAUGGAAACGGGCUGGGAGCAGCGGCCUUCCCAGUGGCCGGAGCCCAGUCAGGUCCUGCCGCUCAAAAUGGCUUUGGACCAGGCUUUGGAGGGGGUGGAAAACCCCAGAAG
This 391-nucleotide small RNA is filed under the name Pan troglodytes (chimpanzee). RNAcentral describes it as "processed transcript". The record is from RNAcentral. Lineage: Eukaryota; Metazoa; Chordata; Mammalia; Primates; Hominidae.